UACGGAGGAUGCGAGCGUUAUCCGGAUUUAUUGGGUUUAAAGGGUGCGUAGGCGGAUCGUUAAGUCAGUGGUCAAAUUGAGGGGCUCAACCCCUUCCCGCCAUUGAAACUGGCGAUCUUGAGUGGAAGAGAAGUAUGCGGAAUGCGUGGUGUAGCGGUGGAAUGCAUAGAUAUCACGCAGAACCCCGAUUGCGAAGGCAGCAUGCCGGCUUCCUACUGACGCUGAAGCGCGAAAGCGUGGGGAUCGAACAGG
Molecule: ribosomal RNA, 252 nt
Filed under: uncultured bacterium
Lineage: Bacteria
Description: partial 16S ribosomal RNA
Rfam family: Bacterial small subunit ribosomal RNA
Source: RNAcentral